Long non-coding RNA from Pseudoliparis swirei, 152 nucleotides. RefSeq lists it as uncharacterized. The transcript has 3 exons. The record is from RefSeq and is a predicted model, not a curated record. Lineage: Eukaryota; Metazoa; Chordata; Actinopteri; Perciformes; Liparidae.
UCACCUGCAGCGUCCGCUUCUUCAACGGGACGCACACGGAGCUCUACUCACACUCCAUCCUGGGGGGGAAAGGAGCGCUGACCAGAGAGAAAUAUCUGAGGAUCACACAGACGGCCAAACUGUCCUACGGGGUUCUCAUCGUCAAGAGCGCC